GGAAAAGAAACCAACAGGGAUUGCCUCAGUAACGGCGAGUGAAGCGGCAAAAGCUCAAAUUUGAAAUCCUUCGGGAAUUGUAUUUUGAAGGUGGGUUUGGUUAGGAAAAGUUACUUUAAGUCCAUUGGAAAAAGGCGCCAUGGAGGGUGAUAGCCCCGUAAAGGUAUCCCUUUUCCUUUUAUCCAUUCCCUCCAAAGAGUCGAGUUGUUUGGGAAUGCAGCUCUAAGUGGGUGGUAAAUUCCAUCUAAAGCUAAAUAUUGGCGAGAGACCGAUAGCGAACAAGUACAGUGAUGGAAAGAUGAAAAGCACUUUGAAAAGAGAGUGAAAAAGUACGUGAAAUUGUUGAAAGGGAAGGGCUUGCAAGCAGACACAACCUCGGUUGGGCCAGCAUCGGAGUGGGGGGAGACAAAAAAGAAAAGGAAUGUAACUC
Molecule: ribosomal RNA, 430 nt
Filed under: Metschnikowia reukaufii
Lineage: Eukaryota; Fungi; Ascomycota; Pichiomycetes; Serinales; Metschnikowiaceae
Description: eukaryotic LSU rRNA
Rfam family: Eukaryotic large subunit ribosomal RNA
Source: RNAcentral